UGUUGGGAUGCUUUUGUCGAGGAUUCAGUCUACGAGGCACAAAUACAAAAAUUCAACUGUAAAAGGCAAAGAACCUUGAAAAAUAUAAAUAGUUUAACUGGCAGCUCAAUGGAAGGCACUAAGUUGGGUUCCUCUCAUGACAAGGAAAAUAAGAGCAAAGAACAUCUUUUCCUGAGUGCUAAAGUGUGUCUCCUUUCGUUAAAGCGAACUUUGGAAGAUCUUCAUAAGAAAGAUUUAUUCCCUUACAAUCCAAAGCCUCUACUUAAAAGCUUGUCCAGAUUUGAGGAGCUCUAUGUGCAGUACUGA
This 306-nucleotide ribosomal RNA is filed under the name Triticum aestivum (bread wheat). Its description in RNAcentral is "partial small subunit ribosomal RNA". The record is from RNAcentral. Lineage: Eukaryota; Viridiplantae; Streptophyta; Magnoliopsida; Poales; Poaceae.